CGAAGACUACAGCAGCUUCCUGAGCCACCAUCAUGCAUGGUGGACCAUCCUGGCCUAGAACCUGUCUGCCUGAAUGUAUUUUCAUUGCAGAAUGCACUGAAUAUUUAUCGGGCAGACUAUGGACCUUUACGUCUGAGGGGAAUAGUGCACCAAUAUAGAUACCUAGCCUACAGAAGCUUUGUAAGCUGGUGCUGGGGCUUUCUGGGGAGGAGUGUGAGAGUUGUGCUGCCUGCCUGCGUGGUGCUGAGGAUUCGUGCAGAGUUCCCUGACGCAGAAGGACAGUAUGUUGGGUUCAGACCUGUCCUUGGUUUAACCUUGACACGUAACUGGCUAUAACGUCCAGCUUGUCGGGUCUUUCAUACUGAGCCAAGAGGUCUUCAGGGAUUGUAAGUUUCAGCACCUCGUUCACAUAUGGGGCAGGGUCCUGGAAAACCUUCUUGAAGAUCAGGUCCAACAGUGCAUCAACGUAGUCUGCAGUGCAAUAAACAAAAAUUAAUGUUUACAAGAAAAUUGCACUAGAACCAAAAAGCCUUGUGCUGCAGUGUUGUAAAGUGUCUCUUCUUAUUUCUCCUAAUUUAUACAUUCUCCUUAUUUAUUAUUUAUUUUGAAAACCAUCUAAAAAGAAUUCAGAUUUUAUUUGUUUGUGUUUAUUUUCAACCUUUUGUGUUAUGCCUGUGUGUCCAUGUUUAUUUUAAUUGGUUGGGUUCAAAUAAAAGAUUUUAAAAC
This is a long non-coding RNA of Epinephelus moara (kelp grouper), 726 nucleotides long. RefSeq lists it as uncharacterized. The record is from RefSeq and is a predicted model, not a curated record. The transcript is spliced from 2 exons. NCBI's taxonomy places the organism in Eukaryota, Metazoa, Chordata, Actinopteri, Perciformes, Serranidae.